Molecule: long non-coding RNA, 1501 nt
Filed under: Homo sapiens (human)
Lineage: Eukaryota; Metazoa; Chordata; Mammalia; Primates; Hominidae
Description: HSALNT0041994
Source: RNAcentral
AGAUUAAAAUUACAAGUAGUUUCUGGAUGGAAGAGCAGACUGGCUGAAACAUCUGCCUCCUUAUUGAUCGUCAGGGUGGCUCUACAUGGUGUGGCUUGCUGAACCAGUACCUCUUUCCUUUUUGAUCUCCCCACCUGCAUCUCUCCCAAAUUGCUGUUCUGUAACCUUCCUACCCAGAUUCACAUUGACAUGGAUAGCUGGAAUGCUAGAAAUGAAUGAUAAUAUUGUAGGGGCUCUGGCUUGCAAGAGACCUGAAUGUCCUUACACAUACCCAAAGGCUGUCCACAUCCCCUCUGCUGCCUGAAGCCUAAGCAGAAAUUCAGUUCUUUUUAACAGGGUUAACACAGUUAACACAGAGGGAUGGCAAUGGAGAGAAAUGGGCACUGAUAUCCCAACUACAUGGUGCUCGCUAGGCCACAGGUCCUAGUGGGGGGCUGGGCCUGUAUGUUUCUAGUUCAAAAUAAAAUGUCCUGUGGGCUAGUGUGAGGUCUGAGCCAUAAUUUGACAUACAGGGGAGAGGCUGGCCCUUUUGUUCUCUCUAAUAUUCCUCUACUCACAAUGAAGCAUAAAGUAGUACAUAUACACUUUCGGUAAGUAAUUUUAAAGUGCACACUCUUGAGGUUACAGCCAGUUAAACAGAUUAAAUUUCUUUUUUUUUUUUUUUUUUUUUUUUUUUGAGACAGUGUCUCCCUCCAUUACCCAGGCUGGAGUACAGUGGCAUGAUCACAGCUCACUGUAACCUCGACCUCUCAGACUCAGGUGAUCCUCCCACCUCAGCCUCCCAAGUAGCUGGAGCUAGAGGCAUGCACUGCCAUGCCCAGCUAAUGUUUGUAUUACUUGUAGAGACAGGGUUUUGCCAUGUUGCCUACUCUGGUCUUCAACUCCUGAACUCCAGUGAGUCUCCCACCUCUGCCUCUCAAAGUGCAGGGAUUACAGGUGUGAGCCACCACGCUCAGCCUGGCACAUUACAUUUCCACAAGAUAAUUAAUUAGACUAUUUUUGUAUAGAUUAAUACAAGUGUGGCUUCUUUCCUGAGCUUCUCUCUCCCUCUGUCUCCCUUUCUUUCCCCUCUACUCGCAUUUCUUCCCCACUCAGUAUUUCUCUCUUUCUACCGCUGGAUCUCAACUCUAAGACCUUGAAAAAAACAAAAUUAUUUCUGCCUGGGCUUUUGAUACAAUCCUCAAAUUCGGGUUGAAACAGUUUUCUCUGUGGCCAUCUGCCACCCAAGCUGUUUUCAUUCCUCCCUGAAUUCUCAUUUCUAAAACAAGGGAGGGACCAAGGGCAUAUGCUGCCAGCUCUCUGAACUCAUCCCUUUGACUCCAGUAUGCACUAGGCUUUUUGUGGCUGGCUUCUGGUCACCUCACCUCCUUCCCCCAGGCAUCUUCCUUCUUGAAUUGCAUGAUCAGGAGUCUAUUAGGAGUCACCCUAUCUCAAGGUAUUUUUCCCUCUAUUAUUCCACCAAUAAACUGUCAACUUUUUACUCUUUCUAUACAUAGCUUCU